AGGAAGUUUGGUCCUGGCUUGUUUGUAUACCUAAAACUAUAAAAAUACACAUGGUUUUCCUUGAGUGAAGCGAGGUAAGAUUAAUUUUUUUGUACGGUAGAAAAUGCACAAAAUAUUUUUCUUUAGGUAUUAUUUCUAAGAAAUGCUUUGAAAAGACCCGCUAACACCAGUGUCAGAGAUUAAGGUAAAAGCGAAAGCUUGUUUUAAUUGAGUUUAAUAUGUCUGGCUAAUUUAGUGCCAGCAGCCGCGGUUACACUAAAAGACAAAGUUAUACAUAAAUAGGUUAAAAGGCAGUUAGAUAGCAUUUUAAGUAUGAAAAUCUUUUGUGUAGAGGUGAAAUUUGGGUAUAAAGUGAUAAUUCAAAAAUUACUGUUAAAUUGAAUCUGCGACAGCCUUGAGGGAAACUGGGAUUAGAUACCCCAUUAUUCUAGGUCGUAAAUUAAUAGAGAUUUACCAGAGUACUACGAAUAAAAAUUUAAAACUCAAAGGACUUGGCGGUAUUUUAGACUUUUUAGGGGAACCUGUUCCAUAAUCGAUAGUCCACGAUGCACCUAACCUCUUUUUGUAAAUCAGUUUGUAUACCUUCGUCGACAGGUAACUUUUUAGAAUAAAGAAGUUAGCCCAAAAAUUUAUUAGUUAAGACGUCAGAUCAAGGUGCAGUUUAUGCAGGGGUGAGGAUGGGUUACAAUUAUUUAGUUAUAACAACGAAUUAAUAGAAUAAUAUCUAUUUUAAAGGCGGACUUGAAAGUAAGAAAAAAUAUAAAAACAUUUUGAAUAUAGCUCUGAAAUGUGCACACAUCGCCCGUCGCUCUCGUUGAAAAAUGAGAUAAGUCGUAACAUAGCAGAGGUAAUGGAAAUUGUCUCUAGACUAAA
RNAcentral lists this non-coding RNA (873 nucleotides) under Harpovoluta charcoti. RNAcentral's name for it is "12S ribosomal RNA". It matches the Rfam family "Bacterial small subunit ribosomal RNA". The record is from RNAcentral. Lineage: Eukaryota; Metazoa; Mollusca; Gastropoda; Neogastropoda; Volutidae.